CCUACGGGAGGCAGCAGUGGGGAAUAUUGCACAAUGGGGGAAACCCUGAUGCAGCGACGCCGCGUGAGUGAAGAAGUAUCUCGGUACGUAAAGCUCUAUCAGUAGGGAAGAAAAUGACGGUACCUGACUAAGAAGCCCCGACUAACUACGUGCCAGCAGCCGCGGUAAUACGUAGGGGGCAAGCGUUAUCCGGAUUUACUGGGUGUAAAGGGAGCGUAGACGGCAGCACAAGUCAGGAGUGAAAUCCCGGGGCUUAACCCCGGAACUGCUUUGGAGACUGUGCGGCUGGAGUGCAGGAGGGGUAAGGGGAAUUCCUGGUGUAGCGGUGAAAUGCGUAGAUAUUAGGAGGAACACCGGUGGCGAAGGCGGCUUACUGGACUGUAACUGACGUUGAGGCUCGAAAGCGUGGGGAGCAAACAGGAUUAGAUACCCCUGUAGUC
Molecule: ribosomal RNA, 440 nt
Filed under: uncultured bacterium
Lineage: Bacteria
Description: partial 16S ribosomal RNA
Rfam family: Bacterial small subunit ribosomal RNA
Source: RNAcentral